GAUUAUCCCACUCCUCAUUACCACCUACUGAGACUUGAAAAGAAUUCUGCUAGAGAUAUCUAGUGAAAGUUUUAGAUAGAUAGAUAUAGAUAUAGAUAUAGAUAUAGAUAUAGAUAGAUAUAGAUAGAUGGAAAAUACAAGCCUUUUUUCUUCCUUUACAUCUUAGGAGUAUAAAGAUGAGAUAUUUAGACCUACUGUGAUCAUGUUCUAAUUAAAGUUAACUAACAGUCUUAAUAUUGAGUGAAAAGAACCUGGAUUUUGAUUAGGUCAUAAAAAUAUUAACUUGGAAUUUUAACCUUGAGCCUGCCUUAACUCCAGACUUUUUUAUCAUGCCAAGUAAUAAAUUCCUUAUUAUUUAAGAUAAGUUGAGCUGGUGUUUAAUAUUAAUUGAAGCUGAUAUUCCUAAUAAGUUUAAUUCACAUUAUAGUUGGCUUUUAUUUUUUCAAGCUUCUUCUUUUACCAGUGUAAUAGUAGAAGGAAAGACCAGAUCAUCUACUGAAGCAUCUUUGGAUAGACAUUACAAAGAAUAACACACACCAAGGCCUACAUAAAUGUUGAUUUUAAAGGAAUAUAAAAAAACAAACAAAAAACGUAAAGUUUUGCCAAAAAGCCAGUAAGAAAUUUUAAUAGUUCAUAAAAUGUUUAUUUUAUUCUUAAAGAAAUAAAGUCCCUCCCCCCAAAUACUGACUACAUUCUUAUGAUUUUGGCAAACUCUUUUCUUUCUCACAGUGAUCAAAAUUCCAAAUUCAUAGCAUAUUAAUUGAUAAUUUUGUUCUGUACACUAAAUUGUUAGUUAUAUUAUUACUAGCAUCUCUUUCAUAUCUUUUGUAUAUUCCUUAUUUCAUGCUUCACUUAAACUAGCUGGAUUAAUUUCAUUAAUCUCUAUCAAAAUAAGCAAGAAGUAAAAUAACUCUUUGUUUUAAAGUCCAUCAAAUAGAAAUUAAAAUUUAAUAUCUGGGUUUUUGUCAAACAUUAGUUAGUCAUGGCAAUUUCAUUUCAUUGCAAAUGUUUGCAAUUAAAGUCCAGUAGUAAUGGUAUUCCUUUAUUUAUUGAGAUUAAAAAUGUACUAUAUGCAAAAUUCUGAAAUUCUUUUCAUCUUUCUGAAUGUUUUAUAAACAAGGAGUGCUAGUGAACUAGGUGGGAAAAUAGAAGACAAGUGAAAAUAGUCUUUCAAGAGAAAAAAAGAGCUCACUUGUGCCCAAUGCUUCAGAAGUCAAAGGAAUUAGAUUAAGAACUAACUAUGGGGGGAAGGUUGAAGAAGAUGGUGGUGGAGGAGGACCCUAGGCUUGCCUCAUUCCACAAACACAACUAAAUAGCUAUUAAAUCAUCCUAAAUACCCCAGAAAUCAAUCUGAAGACUGGCAAAACAAACUUUACAACUAACAGUAGAGGAGAAACCACAUCAAAGAAGGUAGAAAAUGCAGAGAUGCAGCUUAGAAGAGAAACAAAUCAUGGCUGGGACAGUGUGGAGUAAGCCAUGGUUACGAAGAAGGGUAAGAGACAAACUAGUACACAGGGGAGCAUAUGGGAUAAACAAAUCCUUACCACAUUAGGUGUAGGAAGCAAGCGGGACUGAAUUUUCUGAGUUCUAGCAACCAAUUUCUGAGUUCUAGCCUAAAGCCUGAAGUUUUAAUGGUCAGCAGGCUUGGCUCUGGGAGAGCUCCAAGGACAUAGUGGCUGCUCUUGGAAGGAAACCAGGGCAAACAGUCUGGGAACAUACAGACUGAAAACAGCACUCUAAAGAUCAUUAGGGGCACACAUGAGGGAGGUUAGUAGCUCAUCUUCGACUAUGUCCCGCAGAAGAAACUUUCAUGGAGAGACCCCUCCAGAAACAAAGGAACUAGAAGGCACCAUUUCCCUCCCCAACCUCUCAGCAUAAGCAUAGGGACACCUGUGGGAAGCAACAUAACAUUCACUACCUAACUUGCUUAUACCAAUCCUCACCCCUAUCCUGCUCUAGAGAACUACUGGGAACUACCUUUCCCAGUUAUACUUCCCUCAGUACCAUAGUGAGCUUCCUCUUCGAGAAGCCUAGCCCAAACUCUUGCCUACAUCAUGUUUCUUGACAUGGGAGUUUUGCAAGACCUCGGUUCCAGUGGCAGCAGCAAUGGAACUGAGUCUCAUUUCACAAGCAGACGAGAGCAUAACUAGUUAAAACUCACCACAUUCAGGGCAAGGACAAAACAUUGCCCACAAUGGGCAAAGGAAACCUCUAUAUGACUGGCCUACAGAAUAAAGCAGCCAGGUCACAACAGCAGAGUACACACUAGAAACACUCCAGAAAUUCCAGGCACUGGGGAACAGGGGACACUAUACUAUAUACUAUACUGCAGGGCACUACAGGAUCUCUUGUUCAUAAAGCCAUUACCCUCAAGAACAAGAGACAUAGCUGACUUUAAUAACUCAGAGAAACAGGCACAGAGACUUAGACAAAAUGAGAAGACAAAGGAUUUUGUGAAAAAUGAAAGAACAAGAUGAGGCCAUGUUUGGAGAUCUAAGUGAAACAGAUUAAGUAACACCUGAUGGAGAAUUUAAAGCAAUGGUCAUAAGGAUAGUCACUGGACUUCAGAAACGAGUGGAGGACAUCAUGAGUCCAUUAACACAGAGAUAAGGAAAGACAUAGCAGAGAUAAGGGGCUCAAUAAACAAAAUGAAAAACAUACUUGGAAUGAACAGCAAGCUGUAAAAAGCAGAGGAAUGAGUUAAUAAUAACCUAGAAGACAGAAUAAUGUAAUCAAGCUGAAGAAAAGAGAGAAAAAAGAAUUAUGCAAAACAACAAACUUAUGGAACUCAGUGACUCCAUUAAACACAAUAACAUUUGCAUUAUAGGAAUCAGAGAAGAAGAGAAAGGAAAGGGGACAGAGGAUUUAUUUAGAGAAAUAAUAGCUGAAAACUUACUUAAACUGGGGAAUGAAACAGAUAUCCAGAUCCAGGAGGCAAAGAAUCCCCAACAAAAUCAACAAAGGUAGAUCCACAACAGAAUAUGUUGUGAUUAAAAUGGCAAAAAUAUAAUGGAUAAUAAAGAAAAGAUAUUAAAAGCAGCAAGACAAAAAACAGUUAUGUACAAAGGAAACCCCAUAAGAUUAUCAGCAGAUUUUUCAGCAGAAACUUUCCAUGCCAGAAAGUAAUGCCAUGAUAUAUUCAAAGUGCUGAGUGGAAAAAUCUGCAGCCAAAAAAUAUUCUAUCUAGCAAGACUACCAGUCAGAGUUUUGAGACAAAUAAAACUAAAGGAGUUCAUGACCACUAAGCCAGUCCUGCAAGAAAUACUGAAAGGGACUCUUCUAAGGGGAAACGAGAGACCAAAAGUGACACUAUAGAGCUAAAAAGCCACACAAGAGGGGGCGGGGCAAGAUGGCGGAAGAGUAGGGUCCCCAAAUCACCUGUCUCCACCAAAUUACCUAGAAAACCUUCAAAUUAUCCUGAAAAUCUACGAAUUCGGCCUGAGAAUUAAAGAGAGACCAGCUGGAAUGCUACAGUGAGAAGAGUUCGCGCUUCUAUCAAGGUAGGAAGACGGGGAAAAAGAAAUAAAGGAACAAAGGCCUCCAAGGGGGAGGGGCCUGCGAGGAGCCGGGCUGAGGCCGGGGGAGUGUCCCCAGGACAGGAGAGCCCCGUCCCGGAGGAGCAGGAGCUGCACCGACCUUCCCGGGGGAAAGGGGCUCGCGGGGAGGUGGAGCAGGACCCGGGAGGGCGGGGAUGCCCUCGGGCUCCCCGGGACAGUAACAGACACCUGUGCCCCGGGAGAGCGCCCCGAGCUCCCUAAGGGCUGCAGCGCGCACGGCGGGACCCGGAGCAGCUCGGGGGGGCUCGGGGGCGGCUCCGCGGAGGGGGCUGCGCGGCCCCGGGAGCAGCGCAGGGCGCCAGGACACAGCCCAGGAUCCGGCCUCCCCGGGGACAGGCAGAGGCCGGGAGGGCCCAGGACAGCAAGGACGCUCCUGCCCCAGCUGAGCAGAUCAGCGGCCCCGCCCCGGAGCCUCCAGGCCCUGCAGACGGAGAGCUCCGGAGUUCCUGCGGGGGCUGACUCCAGGGCUCCAGAGCUGCCGCCACCGUGGUUGUUCCUCCUGGGGCCUCACGGUUUAAACAACCCCUGAGCCCUGCACCAGGCAGGGGGCAGAGCAGCUCCCCCAACUGCUAACACCUGAAAAUCAGCACAACAGGCCCCUCCCCCAGAAGACCAGCUAGAAGGACAAGUUCCAGGGGAAGUCAACGGACUUAAAGUACACAGAAUCAGAAGAUACUCCCCCGUCGGUUUUUUGUUUUUUGUUUUGUUUUGCUUUUUGAUUUGUUUGCUUCCCCCACCCUUUUUUUCCCUUUCUUUCUUUUUCUUUCUCUUUUUCUUCUUUUUUUCUUCCUUUUUUUCCUCUUUCUCUUUUCUUUCCUUCUUUCUCUCCUCUCUUUUUCUCCUUUUACCAAUACAACUUGCUUUUGGCCACUCUGC
RNAcentral lists this long non-coding RNA (4433 nucleotides) under Canis lupus familiaris (dog). RNAcentral's name for it is "lncRNA (ENSCAFG00845018071.1)". The record is from RNAcentral. Lineage: Eukaryota; Metazoa; Chordata; Mammalia; Carnivora; Canidae.